Odocoileus virginianus texanus is the source of this 726-nucleotide non-coding RNA. The record is from RefSeq and is a predicted model, not a curated record. NCBI's taxonomy places the organism in Eukaryota, Metazoa, Chordata, Mammalia, Artiodactyla, Cervidae.
GCAGCCUUGCCUUCCCCUGGCUCCCGACUGGCCUCUAACGUCCAGACGCUUCUCCACUCCGAGCCCUCGGACCGAACGCGGCAGAGACCCCACGAAGGGAAACAAUGCGAGAGGAGGCUGCGGCUCCGGACCAAGUCACCGAGAGGAAGGAGAGCCUGGAUCCUCUCCCCUCCCUCCGCUCUUCCUUCCCCUUCUCUUCCUUCCUCCCGGCUGCGUCUCCUUGGCUCCACCCCUUCUCCUCAUCAAUUCCUCCCACACUUCCCUGCUCUCCCUGGCUUUUCACUGGAGGGUCCCUUCUCCCAGGGAGGAGCAGAUGCAGAGCCCCAUUGUCUCCCCCCCGCCCCCCACUCACACACACAGGACCUGCCACUCUGCACCCCUCCCCCCAGCCCGCAGGCCUGGGCCUUUAGACACUGGAGCCCCAAGGCCACUGCCCCUCACCCCACCCUAAACCAGCUCCCGGUGCUGUGAGCAAUGACUCCAGUCACUCAGAACAUGAUUUGUUUCUGACGGGGAGUGAGAAAACAGUAGCCUGGGACUUGCUUUAGCAAGGAGGACUCGGUGGUUUUUAAUGUCACCGCACUGAGCCCUGGAUGACCCCAGAGCAUCCAUCCCCCACCCAUUCUGCCCUCUUAAUGGGGUGUCCAGGGAGCCACAUUUCUGUCAUCUUAGAUUCUGCUUAGUGCACCUAAAUUAUUUCCUCCAAAUAAAACAAACAGCACUGAU